Molecule: ribosomal RNA, 412 nt
Filed under: Lactococcus lactis
Lineage: Bacteria; Bacillati; Bacillota; Bacilli; Lactobacillales; Streptococcaceae
Description: bacterial SSU rRNA
Rfam family: Bacterial small subunit ribosomal RNA
Source: RNAcentral
GACGAACGCUGGCGGCGUGCCUAAUACAUGCAAGUUUGAGCGCUGAAGGUUGGUACUUGUACCAACUGGAUGAGCAGCGAACGGGUGAGUAACGCGUGGGGAAUCUGCCUUUGAGCGGGGGACAACAUUUGGAAACGAAUGCUAAUACCGCAUAAAAACUUUAAACACAAGUUUUAAGUUUGAAAGAUGCAAUUGCAUCACUCAAAGAUGAUCCCGCGUUGUAUUAGCUAGUUGGUGAGGUAAAGGCUCACCAAGGCGAUGAUACAUAGCCGACCUGAGAGGGUGAUCGGCCACAUUGGGACUGAGACACGGCCCAAACUCCUACGGGGAGGCAGCAGUAGGGAAUCUUCGGGCAAUGGAACGAAAGUUCUGGACCGAAGCCAAACGUCGCGUGAGUGAAAGAAAGGUUUUU